ACCCGCUGAACUUAAGCAUAUCAAUAAGCGGAGGAAAAGAAACCAACAGGGAUUGCCCCAGUAACGGCGAGUGAAGCGGCAACAGCUCAAAUUUGAAAUCUGGCCUCGGGCCGAGUUGUAAUUUGCAGAGGAUGCUUCUGGCCCGCCGCCGUCCGAGUCCCCUGGAACCGGGAGCCCUUAAAGGGGGAAACUCCCGAAAGUUGGCUGCCGGCACCGUGCACAGCUCCUCCUCCAAGACUCGAGUUGUGUGAAAGCGGCUCUCUAUGUGAGGGGUAUUUUUUCUCUAGCUCUAUACCCCCGACAGACACAUAUCGCACACGUAUAGAGAGCUCAAGAUAAGAAGAACUCUUUGGAAAGAGAGAUAUAACACGUGUGAUUGUGGUGAGGGGAACGCUCGUGCACCCACACGUGCCGGGGGGAUUACGCCGGGCUUCCGACCGGGCUACCCGCCCCCGGCAGGCCAGCAUCGUGUCUCUGCGCCGGAUAAAGGUGCUGGGAACGUGGCUCCUCCGGGAGUGUUAUCCCCGGGCAGCGUACUGCCCUCGCGGGGCGAGAGUGCUCGCUCUCUCCCAAGAGGCGCUGGUUAUGUGCUCUCGCCGACCCGUCUUGAAACACGG
RNAcentral lists this ribosomal RNA (617 nucleotides) under uncultured fungus. RNAcentral describes it as "LSU rRNA". It matches the Rfam family "Eukaryotic large subunit ribosomal RNA", at positions 23 to 664 of the family's 3401-position model. The record is from RNAcentral. Lineage: Eukaryota; Fungi.